RNAcentral lists this long non-coding RNA (9873 nucleotides) under Homo sapiens (human). Its description in RNAcentral is "non-protein coding lnc-HABP4-2:10". Lineage: Eukaryota; Metazoa; Chordata; Mammalia; Primates; Hominidae. The record is from RNAcentral.
CUCUUCCUGCUGCUCCAGGCAUGAGAAGUGCUCGCUCCCUCUUUGCCUUCCGCCACGUUUAAUGAGUCGCAUGGCUUCACACAGGUGUCAAGGAGCCUGGCAAGCUCCCUGCUGGGAGCCAUUUACCAGCUGCAACUCCACCCUACGGAAGAGAGAGUAGGCAUCUGGGUGGACAAUGAGUUGUUCCUGCCACCAGGAUCUUAUGUUUAUUCACUGCCAUGAUGACCUGAAUUAUUUUGGAUAGAAGACACUUCAGGAUUCAAUAGUAUAUGUUUUUUCAUUCCUUUAUUUUCAACCUCUCUGAAUCAACAUUGGAUUUUGAAGCCCCAUCUGAGUAUUUGCCAUUUAUCACUCUGGGAGAAGUCCUGAUUACAAAGAAGUUUCAGCAAUUCAGUGGAGCACAAAAACUGAGGAUGAACACAUAGAAAUGCAUGGAAAGCAAUUGUAUCUGUGUCACCCCAUCUCCCAGUCUGGCACACCUUGGCUCCAAAAGGAUCCCCUUGGCUGUGACUGUCCCUCAUGGGAGAAAAGGAGAGCAGGAUGACUCCAGCAGCCUCAGCCACCACAGACAUCUGCCUCUUUUACCCUUGAGGACUUCAACAGUUUUCACAGAUGCCGAUCCAAGCCAAUGGGCCUGCGUGGAGUCCACACCACUGCACCUACUCUGAAGAAGAAGCCACCACUCCAGCCUUGGCACCACCAUGCCUGCACUGUACCCUCAACUCUGACACCAGGAGGGAUCCCCUUGGUCAUAACUUCCCCCAUGAGGGAAAAAGGAGAACAGGAAGAUCUGCAUCCGCCUUCACUACCAAGACCCCACAAUCUUUGCCAACACUAACCCAAGCUGACUGCUUGGAGUCCACAGCAUUGCACACGCACCCCACCCCCAGGGCCAGAGUUAUCGGUGCAUUCUCCUAGAGCCAAAGCCACCACACAGAAUCCAGCCACCUCCCUCACACUCAACCAUAGGUGAGGGUGUUUCCCCACCAAAGCCAGUUAAUAAAGACUGGAAGAGGUGAUUUCUUCUUCAAAUGCACAGACAUUAAUGCAAGACUCCAAGGAACAUGAAAAAUCAAGGAAACAUGACACAACUAAAGGAACAUAAUAAAUUUCCAGUAAGUGGCCCCAAGGAAAUAGAGAUCUAAAACUGUCUAACAAAGAAGUCAAAAUAAUUGUUUUAAAGAAGAUCAGCAAACUACAAAAGAAGACAAAUAGGCUGGGCAUGGUGGCUAAUGCCUGUAAUCCCAGCACUUUGGGAGGCCAUGGUGGGUGGAUCACCUGAAGUCAGGAGUUCGAGACCAACUUGGCCAACAUGGUGAAACCCCAUCUCUACUAAAAAUACAAAAAUUAGCUGGGCAUGGUGGUGCACACCUGUAAUCCCAGCUACUCAGGAGGUAAUCCCAGCUGGCUCAGGAGGCUGAGGCAGGAGAAUCACUUGAAUCCGGGAGGCAGAGGCUGCAGUGAGCCGAGAUUGCACCACUGCACUACAGCCUGGGCGGCUGAGUGAGACUCCAUCUCAAAAUAAAUAAAUAAAAGAACACAGAUAGACAACUCAACAAAAUGAGGGGGGAAAUACAUGAAUAAAAUGAGAACAAUAAAGAGGUAGAAAUUAUAAAAACAACCAAACAGAAAUUAUGCAGCUGAAGAAUUUGAUGAAUAAAAUGAAAAAUGCAAUAGAAAGCCUUAACAGCAGACUCAAUCUAGCAGAAAAAAGAAUCUGUGAACUUGAAGAAAGGACAUUUGAAAUUAUCCAGUCAGAGACAAAGAAGAAAAAAGAAUUAAAAAGAUUGAAGAAAGCCUAUAAGAUUUAUGGGACAUAAACAAGCAACCCAGUAUAUAUAUUAUGGUAUUCCAAAGAGAACAGAGAAAGAAAAGGGCAACAGGCUUAUGUGAAAAAUAAGGUCUGAAAAAUUCCCAAAUCUUGAGAGGAAAAUGGACAUCCAGGUUCAUGACUCCCAAAUCACCUCAAAUAGGAUCACACAAAUUAAGAAUACUCUGAGACACCUGAUAAUUAAAUUGUCAAAAUUUAAGGACAAAGAGAGCAUUUUGAAAGCAGCAAGAGAAAAGUUGGAACCCCCUACUAGCAGAUUUCUCAGCAGAAACCUUGCAGGCAAAAAGAGAGUGGGAUAAUAUAUUCAAAAUACUGAAAGGAAAAAAAAAAGCUGUCGACCAAGAAUACUAUACCCAGCACAAUUAUCCUCUUUAAAUAGAGGAAAGAUAACGUGUUUCCCAGACAAAAACUGAGGAAGUUCAUCACCACUAGAUUUGCCUUAAGAAAUGCUUAAGGCAGGUCCUCAAAUUGAAAUGAAAACACACUAAACAACAACACAAAUCAUAUGAAAGCAUUAAUCUCACAGGUAAGGGAAAAUAUUUGGAUAAAUAUAAAAUAAUAUAAUAGUUGUAAUGAUGGUGCACAAAUCACUUUUUGCCCUAAUAUAAAAGUUAAAAGAUAAAAAUUUGUUAACAGAUACCCGGUAUAAAAAGCAAACUUUACAGGCAUGAUGGCACACACCUGUGGUCUCAGCUACUUGGGAGGUUGAGAUGGGGGGAUCACUUUAGCCUGGGAAGUGGAGGUUGCAGUGAGCCAAGAUCAUGCCACUGCACUGCAGCCUGGGUGACAGAGUGAGACCCUAUCUCAGAAAAAAAGAAAAAAAAAAGCAAACUCUUUCUACAAAAACACAAAGAGGGGAGAACAAAAGUGUGGAGUUUUUGUAUGUAAUUAAAUUGUUAUCAACUUAAAGUAGACAAUUAUAAGAUAUUUUAUGUAAGCCUCAAGCUAAUCACAAUGAAGAAAAAGCAAUAAUCGAUACAAAAAAGAUAAAGAGAAAAUAAUGAAAGCAAAUCAAUGCAAAAAAUCAUGAAAUAAAGGAAAACAGCAAAAGAGGAAGAGGGACAAAACAACCACAAAACAGACAGAAAACCAUUUACAAAAUGACAAUAGUAAGUCCUCACCUAUCAAUAAUUAUAUUAAAUGUAAAUGAAUUAAACUCCCCAGUCAAAAGGCAUAGAGUGGUUGAAUGGACUUAAAAAACAAGAUCCAGUGGUACGGUGUCUGCAAGAGAUUCACAUAAGCUGGGCAUGGAGCAUGGGGAAGUCAAGGCUGCAGUGAGUCAUGAUCACACCACUGCACUCCAACCUGGGUGACAGAGUGAGAUCCUGUCUCAUAAAAAAAAAAAAAAAAAAAAAAAAACAGAAGAAAGAAGACAAUUCGAUUCACAAUAGCAACAAAAAGAAGAAAAUACUUAGGAAUGAACUGGUAAAAGACUUGUACGCUAAAAUUUAUAAAACAUUAAUGAAGGAAAUGAAAGAAGACACAAAAAUGGAAAGAUGUCUGUGUUCAUGGAUUAGAAGAUAGAAGAAUUAAUACUGUUUAAAUGUGCAUACUAUUGAAAAUAACCUACAGAUUCAAUGCAAUCCCUAUCAAAAAUCUCAAUGGCAUUUUUUAUAGAAAUAAAGAAAAUCCAAAAAUUCAUAUGGAACCACAAAAGAUCACAAAUAGCCAAAACAAUCUUGAGCAAGAAGAACAAAGUGGGAAGCAUCACACUUCUUGACUUCAAAAUAUAUUAUAAAGCUACAGUAAUCAAAAUAGAAUGCUUUACUAACAUUAAAAAAGACAUAUAAACCAAUGGAACAGAAUAGAGAGCCUGGAUAUAAAUUCACACAUCUACAGUCAACUGAUUUUUAACAAAGGUGGCAAGAGCACACAAUUAGGAAAAGAUAGUCUCUUCAACAAAUGGUGUUGGGAAAACUAGAUAUCCGCAUGCAGAAAAAUGAAAGUGGAACUUAUCUCACACCGUAUACACAAAUCCACCCCAAAGGGAUUAAAGACUUAAAUGCAACCUCUAAAGCCAUAAGAUUAUUAGAGGAAGACAUAGGGGAGAAUCUUCCUGAUGUUGGUCAGGGCAAUUAUUUUUUAGAUAUGACACUGAAAGCACAAGCAACAAAAUAAAAAUAGACAAUUGAAAUUGCAUCAAACUGGCCAGGUGCGGUGGCUCACACCUGUAAUCCCAACACUUUGGGAGGCUGAGGUGGGUGAGUCACAAGGUCAGGAGAUCGAGACCAUCCUGGCUAACACAGUGAAACCCUGUCUCUACUAAAAAGACAAAAAAUUAGCUGGGCGUGGUGGCAGGCGCCUGUAGUCCCAGCUACGCAGGAGGCUGAGGCAGAAGAAUGGUGUGAACCUGGGAGGCAGAGCUUGCAGUGAGCCGAGAUCACACCACUGCACUCCAGCCUGGGCGACAGAGCAAGACUCCAGCUCAAAAAAAAAAGAAAGAAAAUGCAUCAAACUAAAAAGCAUCUGUGCAGCAAAGGAAACAAUCAACAGAGUGAAAAGGUAACCUACAAAAUGGAAUAAAGUAUUUGCCAACUACAUGUCUGAUAAAGGAUUGAUAUUCAAACUAUAUAAAGAGCUAAUAAAACUUAAUAGCAAAACAAAACAAAUAACGUGAUUUUAAAAAAGGAAGAAGGAUGUAAAUAGACAUUUUUCAAAAGAAAACAUACAAAUGGUCAAUAGGCAUAUGAAAAGAUGUUCAAUAUCGCUAAUUAUCAAGGAAAUGCAGAUGAAAACCACAAUGAGCUAUCACUUCACACCUGUUAGAAUAGCUACUAUAAAAAAGACAAAAGAUAAGUAUUGGCGAGGAUGCAGAGAAAAGGGAACUCUUGUAUACUGUUGGUGGGAAUGUAAAUUGGUACAGCCAUUAGGGAAAACUGUAUGGAAGUUCCUUCAAAUAAUAACUACUUUAUGAUCCAGCUUCUGGCUAUAUAUCCAAAGGAAAUGAAAUCAGUAUGUCUUCAAGGUAUUUGCACUCCCUUGUUCAUUACAGUACUAUUCACAAUAGCCAAGAUAUGGAAGUAACCCCAAUAUCCAUUAACAGAUGAAUAAGGAAAAUGUGGCACACACACACACACACACACACACACACACACACAAUGGAAUAUCAUUUAGCCUUUAAAAAGAGAAGGAAAUCCUGACAUUUAUGACAACAUGGAUAAAUGUUGGACAUGGAUAAAUGAGGAGAUUAUGCUAAGUGAAAUAAGUCAGACACAAAGACAAAUACUGCAUGAUCUCACUUAUAUGUGGAAUCUAAAACAGUCAAGCUCAUGGAACUACAGAGUAGAAUGUUGCUGCUAGAGGCUGGGGGAGGGGUAAAUGGUGAGAUGUUGGUCAAGGGACACAAAGUUUCAGUUAUGCAGGAUGAAUGAGAUCUAGAGAACUAAUAGACAUAGUUAACAAGGACAUAGUUAACAUAGAACAUAAUUAACAAGGCUGUAUUAUAUGCUUGAAAUUUGCUAAGAACUGUAAAUCUCGUUUUCUCACCCCUCCCAAAAAAGAACAAGAAAAGAUCAUGGUAAUGAUAUGAAAUAAUAGAUACGUUCGUUAACUUGAUUAUGGUGAUUAUUUCACAAUGUAUACAUAUUUCAAUAUAUUAAGAAGUCAUACACUUAAAUAUAUACAAUUUUUAUUUGUCAAUUAUUCAUCAGUAAAGGUGCAAGGAAAUAUUCAAUAUUUUUUAAGUUAAAGGAGAACAAAAUAAAUACACAAAAAUUAGAUGGCAGUGCUCUUGAAAUGGGUGUGGGGAUGUGUGUGGAGAGGGUGGGUGCUGCGUGGGGCUUGAGUGGGGCCACCCUGCUUGUGUCCAGCUGGGCUGAGUGAUUGUCUAAGGCCACAGCAAUUACACACACUCCCUAAGGGAACUCUGUCUACAACUAGGCAGAAAUGAUGGGAACCAUGAAUUUGAUGGUAGGCCAUGAAUUUGAUGUCUUUAUUUGAUGUAAGCCUAUUUGGCUGCUGUUAAGUAUUGGGUUUUUCUUAUAACCUCCAGUAAUUAGAAAUAAAUGAGGACUGUAGGUACCCUCCCACAAAACCCAGCCAGCAGAUGGUGCCUUACAAGGCAAGCAAGCUUCAGACUGAACUCUACCACACCUAAAACAUCAAGCUGGAUCAAAGAGUCAGGAACCUGUUCUUGAAAGCUCAGUGGAGCCCCAGCUCUCUGACCCUUAGGCAGUCUACUAAAUGUCUUGCAUGAGGGCUCAUCCCCGGUAGAUAAAAUAUUCUAAGGGGUGGAUACAGUCAACCUUCUAGCUAAAUCACAUGGCAGAAUCCUCCACUACGUGGCAGGAUGUGGGACCAAAUCACAGUUCAAGGCCAUGAAUGCUACUCUGCUAUACCCACAGAUAUUACACCUGUAAAUCAAAAAGUGUCUGAGACAGGUCUCAAUCCAUGCUGAAGUUUAUUUUUCCAAGGUUAAGGACAUUCCAGUGGCACAGCCUCAGGAGGUCCUGCGAACAUAUACCCAAGGUGGUUGGGCUACAACUUGGUCUUACAUGUUUUAGAGAGACAUAAGAUAUCCAUCAAUACAUGUAAGAUGUACGUUGCUUCUGUCCAGAAAGGCAAAACAACUCAAAGGGGUGGGUGUGGGGGGACUUACAGGUCAUAGGUGGAUUCAAAGAUUUCCUGAUUGGUAAUUGGUUGAAAAAGUUUAUCUAAACACCUGGAAUCAAGAGAAGGGAGUGUCUGGGUAAGAUAAGAGAUUGUGGAGACCAAGGUGUUUAUUAUGCAGAUGAAGCCUCCAGGUAGCAGGCUUUAGAGAGAAUAGAUUGUAAAUGUUUCUUAUCAGACUCCCAGUUAAUUCUCUCCUGAAUCAGGAAAAUGACCUGGAAAGGGAAGGGGAUUCUCUACAGACCAUAGAUUUUCCCCACAACAGAGAGCUUUGCAGGGCCAUUUCAAAAUGUGUCAAAGAAAUACAUUUGGGGGUAAAAUACUUUGAUUUCUUUUAGGGCCUGCUGUCUGUGAUGUUGGUAUCUUAUUGCUACAAAGAGUCUGCUUUGUCACUCUUUUUUUUUUUUAGAUGGAGUCUCGCUCUGUCACCCAGGCUGGAGUGCAGUGGCGCGAUCUCGGCUCACGGCAAGCUCCGCCUCCCAGGUUCACGCCAUUCUCCUGCCUCAGCCUCCCAAGUAGCUGGGACUAUAAGCGCCCGCCACCACCCCUGGCUAAUUUUUUGCAUUUUCAGUAGAGGCGGGGUUUCACUGUGUUAGCCAGGAUGGUCUCGAUCUCCUAACCUGGUGAUCUGCCCGCCUGGGCCUCCCAAAGUGCUGGGACUACAGGCGUGAGCCACUGUGCCCGGCCUGCUUUGUCACUCUUAAGGUCUCUGUGUUGAUAUCAGCGGUGCUCAGCUGUGCCUGAAUUCCAAAGGGAGGAGGCCGUAAUGAGGCAUGUUCAACCACCCAUCUCCAUCAUGGCCUGAACUGGUUUUUCAGGUUAACUUAGGAAUGCCCUUGGCCAAGAGAAGGGGUCCAUUCGAUUGGUUGGGAGACUUAGAAUUGUAUUUUUGGUUCACAUACUUUUGUUCAUUCAAGGGUAGAAGUGCCUGUACAACAUUUUUUCACCAAUCCACUUAUUUUGAACGACUAUUCCACAGUAUAAAUAAUUUCCUCAGGAAAAUUACUUAUAACAUCUGUUAGGCUAGCAAGCCUUCUAAUGAAGGUCAAGUUAGCUGAGGCAUAGAUGUUGAUGAACUCUGAUUUGUCAUUUUUAAAAAUAACUAAAAACUCAAUUUAUCCAGGGUUCUGGCAGAAAUAGCACACUCAAACUGAGUAAUUUGGAGAGAGUUUAAUAUGAAGAAACCACAAGGGACAGUGCAAUAGGGUGGGGCUGGCAACACUGAGCUGCUGUUACCAUGUCAGAGGUAUUUGAGCCACAGCAACUCCAUCUUAAAUAGGAGCUGGGUGAAAUGAGGCUGAGACCUACUGGGCUGCAUUCCCAGAUAGUUGAGGCAUUCUAUGUCACAGGGUGAGGUAAGAGGUCAACACAAAAUACAGGUCAUAAAGACCUUGCUGAUAAAACAGCUUGCAGUAAAAAAGCCAGCUAAAACCCACCAAAACCAAUAUGGCGAGGAGAGUGACCUCUGGUCAUCCUCAUUGCUACACUCCCACCAGCGCCGUGACAGUUUACAAAUGCCAGGGCAAUGUCAGGAAGUUAUCCUAUAUGGUCUAAAAGGGGAGGCAUGAAUAAUCCGCCCCUUGUUUAGCAUAUCAUCAAGAAAUAACCAUAAAAAUGGGCAACCCGAGGGCUGCUCUGUCCAUGGAGUAGCCAUUUUUUAUUCCUUUACUUUCCUAAUAAUCUUGCUUUCACUUUAUGGACUCACCCUGAAUUCUUUCCUGCUCAAGACCCAAGAACCUUCUCUUGGGGUCUGGAUCAGGACCCCUUUCCUGUAACAUCUUUCUGGUGACCACAAAGGGAUUAUAGUGUGAAAACCCCCUUCCCAAAGCCUAACUUUGGGUAAGUGGUGGGGUCUGGUAACAUCUUUCUCACUAACCCUGAAGGCACAAUACUAAAGAAGCCCCAAUACUAAAGAAGCCCCCGACCCAAAAAAAAUAGACUACAGCACUGAUUGGAUGGCUUUGGGUAAGUGGGGCGCAUUUACCCGGGUAAAGGAUGGGGCUGGGUUAGAGGCCCAACUUAGGGGAGUUAGAGCCUCUCCUAAGACAGAGCAGGUUAGAGGCCCUUCUUAAUAAAAGGCAAGGGCACUUGACUAGCCUUGGGUUAGAGUCCUAACUUAGGAGGGUUAGAGUCCCUUCUAAUAUUUAGGGGGUUAAAGUCCCCUCUCAGAAAAGUCCCUCUCGUAAAGUCCCUCUUGGCUAAGAAUGGGUUUGGCCCUACGGGAUGUUAACUGCUUUUCUCUUUGGAAUAAUCUGCCUUUCGCUCUUUGCUAAUGGCUGUGGGUGACAGGAUUAGGCAUGUACAGCAUUGUGGUACACGGGGAACUUUUUCCUCCCUAAAAGGGGGAACUUAAGAGCUGAUGAGACUGCAGGAAAAGAUCCCUUCACUACUGACAAGCAGCCACCUGAACUUUUCAGCGUUGCUGCAAUGGGUGGUUUUUUCUCUGGGCUCUGUGAGCGUCUCGCCUCCCCCACCCUGCCUCAGGCAAUGCUUUCCUUUCUGUCUCCCUCUGUCUCUCUGCAAACUGGUUAAAUGGUAAAAAUCACUGCUUGUCUCCUCUGUAAAGUUUUGAUUAAUGGGAAAAAGGAUUUGUGAGGCUAGUCGUAAGCUGCAGCAAAUUUGGUGUGCUUUGUGUGUCUUUCUAUAUUGUUCUGCCACAAAGAGGGGUAACUUAGGAUAGAACAUGGGCAUAGGACACCUGUAAGCCCGCUUUUCAAGAUGGCCCAGCAAACUGGUCAGUUAUGUCCUUGGGAGCUUGACCUUGUAACCAUAUGGCCGUGCUUUCUCUUUUCAGAAUGGUGGCCUGGGUUCAAGGUUUGAUUCGUGUCUUAGGGAUGAGUCCUUUAUUCUCUGUCUGUGUAUUUAUAUAUGUUGCAUAUGUGAUAUAAAAGAGCUUUGAUUAAUUGGUUUAAAAAUAAUAAGCGCUUAAAUCAAAUAUUUUAUGAGAAAAGUAAAAAGUGUAAUGUCUUUUAGUUCAUGUGACUUAAGUAAUCUUUGAGAAAUAAAGAUAGUUUUAAAAAUAUUGGUAAAAUAAAGACAUUUGGUCUAAAGUUAAAUAGGUCAAAUAUUAAGUUUACUUAAUGCUUUAAGGUCAUAAACUGCUUCUUUGACUUUUGAAAAUUGUUCAAUUUACCUACUUUGGCGCAUUAGUUCUAGAUAAGGCCAGGGACAUGUGGAGUUAGCCACACCCCCUAGCUAUGCUGGAGUCAGCCCUCAUCUGCACUUCUGCCUGGUGUGUCCUGAGCUAGGCUCCACACUUGGCACAUGAUUAAAAUUGCUUCCUAACCAGGUUUUUCACCAGAAGUAAAAGUUGCUAAGGGUUAACAUUGUAACGUGUAAUUAAGACUACUGAAGAAACAGUUCUACCUGUAAGGCAUGUAAGGAAAGCAGAAUGUGUUUUUGGUAAAAGAUAAUAAGAAGUCAUGGGAAUGUGG